RNAcentral lists this long non-coding RNA (1757 nucleotides) under Homo sapiens (human). Its description in RNAcentral is "HSALNT0131486". The record is from RNAcentral. Lineage: Eukaryota; Metazoa; Chordata; Mammalia; Primates; Hominidae.
AGUUCUCUCGAUGUUGCCCAGGGAGCUGGGGGUGUUUGGAGCAGGGAAGGGACCCAGAAGGAAAGGGGGGGUGCUGUGGAGUGACCAGGAAGAAUGUGGGCUUUUUCUGUUUCCUGGGAGCUCUGGUGAGGUUUGUAGGUGAUGAGCUCCCCCUCUUUUCCGUCCAGGAGCUGCAGGAUCUGCCAAGAGAGGCUGGGGAGGUCCUGAGACCCUUCCCUGUCAGAGAAGAAGAGGCAGAGGGUGGCAAGGGCGUAAGCAUGGCUUUCUCACCCAUUCCCAGGGGACAGGAGGCAUCGGGAGAGUGUCCUGCGUGGGGGAACUGUCAGAGGGGAGGAUGACAUCGUGCCCCCUGCACCUCCAGCCCCCAAUAAUGUGAGGAUGCGCUAAGUUAGGGAAGUGAGGAAAAGGCCCCACUCCUCCUAGCAGAUUUCUGAACUGAGGUGAGGUCUGAACUGGUGGAAAGAUGAAAUUUUGAUUUCAGUCUAGCUGGAAUUUAUUUUAAAAAUCUGCAAAGGAUGCUGUUCUAAAGCUGAAAAGUGACUGGAAAAGCUCUGAGAUGCACCUGGGGUGUUGUCUAGAAGUGGGGAAGGAAGCUCUGGCACAGAAGUUCGGGAAGUGUGGGGAGACAGAAAUUCAUUUCCCCCCAUUCAGAGGGCCAGGCGCAAGUUUCUGCUGAACACUCUCCCGUCUCUUCCAACCUACACCUACAGCCCUGCAUCUUCUCACUGAAAACAUUUCCAUCUUCUGGGUCAACAGCCGCACUUUUUGUGGUGUGUAGAAACGAGAUACAGGGGCCCCCAACACCCAGUGUGUUGGGUGCUGUACAGGAGUGAGCGUUGGCGGCAGCCGGGGCUCGGCUCACCGCCUCAGGGUACUGUGUGUACACAGGAGUCAGGAGUAAGUCACUUUCCCAGCCCGUGAGGCAUCAUUUUAGAGCUGGUUUCUCUACUGUACCAAUGUCCCUGUUCUGCCUGGCCUUUGUCUGCAGCCCUGCUCCCUUCCCUGGCUGUCACCAUUCCAGGAGCUGCCCUCCUGUGCUCUGCACUGCUCCCAUCCACCUGUCCCCGCCCCAGACUGUGGGUGGGAGCCCGACCUGCACUCUGGCUGUGCUGGAACAAAGCGUCAGGGCUUGGUCACCAUCAGCCGCUGACCACGGUCUGCUCGGGCUGCUGGGAGACCAGGCUGUGCUGGGGAGUUCCCGGGGAUCCUGGCGCCUGCCAGGAACCUGAGCUAGGAAAGCGAUGCUUCCUGUUGGAGAGAUUGAGUGUGGAUCUGAAAGUUCCCUCACCUUGGGUUCACUUGUUAGCACGGCUCCUGACCCAGCUGUCUGCUGCCUGUCUGAGGACAAUGGAAACCUGCUGUCUUUCAGAGUGAAAUUCUUAUUGACAUUCAAAGAGUAAACAUCUACCAAGAUACAUUUGCUUAUUUUGUCUUCUUCCUGGUGAGUUGGAAAUACCUGGAUUUUUGCCAUAAUAAAGGCAUUUCUCAAUGACAGACACUGUACCAUCACUACAUAGCAAGUUUUAACCCCCACACUGAGGAGUAAAAUCUCCAGCAUCCGCCUCUCUGGGGUUGGCUCUCAGGCAGUGGUAAUUAUCAGGAUUUUAUCCUAGAAAACAAGGCAAGUCUAACACACCGUUUCUCAAUUAAGUUUCCUGAAAACCAAUUUAUUCUAUUUGAGUAAAUUAUAUAUUUGAUACUGAAAUUACAGAAACAUUUUACUGUUUCACUAGCGUACACUCACGGGUGCUUUGCAG